AAGACCUGUAUCUAUAAUUGCUAACGGCUUAUUCGUAAGGACUGAGCACAUUAUAGAGACUGCCUUCGUAAGGAGGAGGAAGGUGCAGGCAACGGUAGGUCUGUAUGCUCCGAAUCUUCUAGGCUACACGCGCGCAACAGUGGUAAAGACAAUGGGAUGCAACUCCGAAAGGAGAAGCUAAUCCUCGAAACUUUAUCGUAGUUUAGAUUGUGGGUUGCAACUCACCCACAUGACAACGGAAUCGCUAGUAAUCAGGUCUCAUCAUGGCCUGGUGAAUGU
RNAcentral lists this ribosomal RNA (279 nucleotides) under uncultured archaeon. RNAcentral's name for it is "partial 16S rRNA". It matches the Rfam family "Archaeal small subunit ribosomal RNA", at positions 1047 to 1323 of the family's 1478-position model. The record is from RNAcentral.